UGGGGAAUAUUGCACAAUGGGGGAAACCCUGAUGCAGCGACGCCGCGUGAGCGAAGAAGGUUUUCGAAUCGUAAAGCUCUGUUCUAUGGGAAGAAAAGGACUGUACCAUAGGAGAAAGCUCCGGCUAAAUACGUGCCAGCAGCCGCGGUAAUACGUAUGGAGCGAGCGUUGUCCGGAAUUAUUGGGCGUAAAGGGUGCGCAGGCGGCUUUACAAGUUGGAUGUGAAAUAUUGUGGCUCAACCACAAACGUGCAUCCAAAACUGCAAAGCUUGAGUUAAGGAGAGGUAAGUGGAAUUCCUGGUGUAGCGGUGGAAUGCGUAGAUAUCAGGAGGAAUACCGGUGGCGAAGGCGACUUACUGGACUUAAACUGACGCUCAGGCACGAAAGCGUGGGGAGCAAACAGG
Molecule: ribosomal RNA, 404 nt
Filed under: Fusobacteriota bacterium
Lineage: Bacteria; Fusobacteriati; Fusobacteriota
Description: Fusobacteria bacterium partial 16S ribosomal RNA
Rfam family: Bacterial small subunit ribosomal RNA
Source: RNAcentral